This 1931-nucleotide long non-coding RNA is filed under the name Daphnia magna. RNAcentral's name for it is "uncharacterized LOC123477065, transcript variant X1". Lineage: Eukaryota; Metazoa; Arthropoda; Branchiopoda; Diplostraca; Daphniidae. The record is from RNAcentral.
AAAAUUUUUUUAAUACGCGGUUUUUUUGUUUUUUUUUUGCAACGGUGCAGUCUACAUGUGAAGAACAUUUAAGAACAAACAUUCCAGUUCUGACCAGUGAAACACGUGCGUCGAUACUGGUGAGUUCCUUGCAACCGGUAUUUCCAUUUUUGAUUCCAUUACAUGAACAUUGCCUCUUUUCAAGUCCAUGCACGUUUUGUUCUUAGCGAUAAGUAAUUGUUUCUGCAUGCCACUUAAUCAGCCAAUUAUGUUCAUUUAAAUUCUACGGAUGAUUAACCAGUGGUAAUUUUUUUCAAAUGGUUUUUCAUAAAUUUUCUUCGUGCGUUUCUCUUUGGUCCACAGUUAGAGCCCCGCCUCCUUUCUUCACGUCGGCCACGAAAUCUCUUUUGCUUUCCUGAAUAAUUUCCUAGACAUGGAUCUAACACUAACAGUCAAUCAACGUAACAGUUUUGUUGAGUAUUUACAUUUAAAAUGAACUACGUACUUAGACGUAAAGUAGUCAAGAUAUGCAAAAGAUAGUUAGAAAUUGUUCGUUCGCUUAAAUGUUACAGUCAUUUCGAGAACUGUUUCCUCAUCGAUACAGUCUACCCCAUAGAUAUGAUUGAUAUCGUGAUGGGAAGUUGGGAACACCUGGUUAAAGCACCAGUUGGAAACAAUCUGAAAAUACAACCCCAUUUUACAUUUUAUUCGAAGCAAUGCGGUGCAUCAACUGAUACGUUAAAUUGGAAUCUUUUUUCCAUCUAGUCACUUGAAACACCCAACAAUUUUACCUCACUUAACCGUGUAACGUUAAAUCAGAAAGCUUCAACAUUAUGUGGGAGGCAGUUAAUCUCUAUCGGAUUUUCUUUUAUUUAACCCGUGCAUGAGACUACAGGAUGAACUGUCCCUUUUGGCAGGUGACUCUCUCAGCAACGUUUCCGUAUAAAAUGUUUCGGAGUCUCUUGAUUUGCGGAAUCCACAACAAUUUACGGAAUGAAGUCCAUUUCGACAGGGGAUCACGAGUGAUGAAAAAUGGAUGUGGUGGGCAAACCCAAAAGCCGAAAUCUUAGUUAACAAAUUAAUGUCUACAACGUUCCUGAAGGCCAAGAAAUUUCUAUGCCGAGUGCAUAUGAUUUACAUCACCUCAGCAACGGAAAACGGUUUAACCAGUGCGUAAAGACAUUCUGGAGUGGCGUGCCAACGAUGCAAUAUUCUCGUGUCGAGUGAAAUCAAUUGACUGGUGGGGAAGCGGGAUUACGUAUUAUUCGUUCUGAAAAGCAGCAUUUCCCUACUUUUACUUCCUGAAUGUGCUCAACGCGGACGCGAUAUUUGCCUGAGGCUCUUUUCAGCACCUUGAUCAAACAGUAACGUUGAAAGACCGGUUUGGAUUAUUCUUCUGCGACGGAGAUGUUUUAAUCCGGACGCGCUUCAGGUCUACAUUGACGUUAGAGGUUGGCAUUCAAUUGUGAAAAAUGCUAUCGAGCUUAAAUUAGGAAAUAUCCAGUGAAUUAACUACGGAACAGUCGUCGGCUGUAACCACCUAAGGUCAAUCUUAGCUGAGAGAAACAGAGUAACGUAUCACCUGGAGCGUCAUAAAAAGGAGGAGCAGGCAGCUGUAAUAAUGGGCCGAAGUGAUGGUUUGCUGGCUGGGCGUGCCAGACGUUGUGGACCGAGCUUCGAUUAUCACCUGGAAAAUGAGAAGAAGAAAAAAGGUUUUUCAGGAGAACUGGGCACGACUUCGUCUCGAACGAAAACUUGGCAUUGGAAUAUGCCUCCAUCUUGAACUUCGGCUCUGUCAAUCUAAACAAGCUUUUUACGAUGAGUGUAGAAGUUCGUGUGUCCUCCUGGAACGCAAGACGCAGUCGGGGAUUGGUAUCGAUCAAUAAAGUGUCACCGUGCGAGAUAACCUCCUGGUUGGACGGAUCUAUUGAAUUCAUUUGAGGUGGGCAAAG